This 133-nucleotide small nucleolar RNA is filed under the name Sciurus vulgaris (Eurasian red squirrel). Its description in RNAcentral is "Small nucleolar RNA SNORA41 (ENSSVLG00005002626.1)". It matches the Rfam family "Small nucleolar RNA SNORA41". From Rfam's summary of the family: ACA41 is a member of the H/ACA class of snoRNA that guide the sites of modification of uridines to pseudouridines. Lineage: Eukaryota; Metazoa; Chordata; Mammalia; Rodentia; Sciuridae. The record is from Rfam by way of RNAcentral.
UUCCACAGCUACUGGUCUGCAGCUGUUGUAAUGGUAGCAGUUGUGGCAUUCCUCUGUGGGAAAGAAACUGUUGCACAAUUAAAUGCCUCUUUCUUAGCCAAAGAGAAAGUGGGCACAUGUGUGACAGACACAG